RNAcentral lists this transfer RNA (74 nucleotides) under Methanobrevibacter millerae. RNAcentral's name for it is "tRNA_Thr_TGT". It matches the Rfam family "tRNA". Rfam says of the family: Transfer RNA (tRNA) molecules are approximately 80 nucleotides in length. The record is from RNAcentral. Lineage: Archaea; Methanobacteriati; Methanobacteriota; Methanobacteria; Methanobacteriales; Methanobacteriaceae.
GGGCAUGUAGCAUAGCAGGUUAAUGCGCUGGCCUUGUAAGCCGGAAAUCAGGGGUUCAAAUCCCCUUAUGCCCU